GGGGGAAUAUUGGACAAUGGGCGAAAGCCUGAUCCAGCAAUGCCGCGUGUGUGAAGAAGGCCUUCGGGUUGUAAAGCACUUUUAUCAGGAGCGAAAUACGACGGGCUAAUAUCCCGUUGGGCUGACGGUACCUGAGGAAUAAGCACCGGCUAACUUCGUGCCAGCAGCCGCGGUAAUACGAAGGGUGCAAGCGUUAAUCGGAAUUACUGGGCGUAAAGCGUGCGUAGGCGGUCUUUUAAGUCUGCUGUGAAAUCCCCGGGCUCAACCUGGGAAUGGCAGUGGAUACUGGGAGGCUAGAGUGUGAGAGAGGAUGGUGGAAUUCCCGGUGUAGCGGUGAAAUGCGUAGAGAUCGGGAGGAACAUCAGUGGCGAAGGCGGCCAUCUGGCUCAACACUGACGCUGAGGCACGAAAGCGUGGGGAGCAAACAGGAUUAGAUACCCUGGUAGUCCACGCCCUAAACGAUGCGAACUGGAUGUUGGUCUCAACUCGGAGAUCAGUGUCGAAGCUAACGCGUUAAGUUCGCCGCCUGGGGAGUACGGUCGCAAGACUG
RNAcentral lists this ribosomal RNA (550 nucleotides) under uncultured bacterium. Its description in RNAcentral is "bacterial SSU rRNA". It matches the Rfam family "Bacterial small subunit ribosomal RNA", at positions 355 to 896 of the family's 1533-position model. The record is from RNAcentral.